RNAcentral lists this RNase P RNA (364 nucleotides) under Buchnera aphidicola (Schlechtendalia chinensis). RNAcentral's name for it is "Bacterial RNase P class A". It matches the Rfam family "Bacterial RNase P class A". Rfam says of the family: Ribonuclease P (RNase P) is a ubiquitous endoribonuclease, found in archaea, bacteria and eukarya as well as chloroplasts and mitochondria. Its best characterised activity is the generation of mature 5'-ends of tRNAs by cleaving the 5'-leader elements of precursor-tRNAs. Cellular RNase Ps are ribonucleoproteins. The record is from Rfam by way of RNAcentral. Lineage: Bacteria; Pseudomonadati; Pseudomonadota; Gammaproteobacteria; Enterobacterales; Erwiniaceae. RNAcentral also lists the same sequence under 1 other name.
AAAGUUAACCAGACAGUCGCUGCUAUUUCAAAAAUAGGAGAGGAAAGUCCGGACUCCGCAGGGCAAAUACAAGGUGCCAGAUAACAUCUGGGGAGCAUAAGCUUACGACCAGUGCAACAGAAAAUAACCGCUUCUUCACGAAUAAGUUCAGAAGCAAGGAUGAAAAGGCGAGGUAAGAGCUCACCGCAUACUGGGUAACUAGUAUGGCUAAGUAAACUCCACCUGGAGCAAGGCCAAAUAGAGAAUUAAUAUAUUUUUGCCCUUAUACAUAAUACUCGGGUAGGCUGCUUGAAAUAAUAAGUAAUUAUUAUUCUAGAUAAAUGACUGUCUAAUACAGAAUCCGGCUUAUAGGUUAACUUUUAUU